GAGUUUGAUCGUGGCUCAGGAUGAACGCUGGCGGCGUGCUUAACACAUGCAAGUCGAACGAAGCGCCUUAUUUGAUUUUCUUCGGAACUGAAGAUUUGGUGACUGAGUGGCGGACGGGUGAGUAACGCGUGGGUAACCUGCCCUGUGCAGGGGGGAUAACAAUCAGAAAUGACUGCUAAUACCGCAUAAGACCACAGCACCGCAUGGUGCAGGGGUAAAAAACUCCGGUGGUACAGGAUGGACCCGCGUCUGAUUAGCUGGUUGGUGAGGUAACGGCUCACCAAGGCGACGAUCAGUAGCCGGCUUGAGAGAGUGAACGGCCACAUUGGGACUGAGACACGGCCCAAACUCCUACGGGAGGCAGCAGUGGGGAAUAUUGCACAAUGGGGGAAACCCUGAUGCAGCAACGCCGCGUGAGUGAAGAAGUAUUUCGGUAUGUAAAGCUCUAUCAGCAGGGAAGAAAGUGACGGUACCUGACUAAGAAGCCCGGCUAACUACGUGCAGCAGCCGCCGUAAAACCG
RNAcentral lists this ribosomal RNA (521 nucleotides) under uncultured microorganism. RNAcentral's name for it is "bacterial SSU rRNA". It matches the Rfam family "Bacterial small subunit ribosomal RNA", at positions 9 to 527 of the family's 1533-position model. The record is from RNAcentral.